This 303-nucleotide long non-coding RNA is filed under the name Carica papaya (papaya). RNAcentral's name for it is "long non-coding RNA (CPAP_LNC003836)". The record is from RNAcentral. Lineage: Eukaryota; Viridiplantae; Streptophyta; Magnoliopsida; Brassicales; Caricaceae.
CAGUAUUUCAUGAAAGAAACAAAUACAUUGAGUUAGACUGUCAUCUGAUUAGAUAAAAAAAUUCAAAAAGGUGAGUAUAAUGACAAACCAUAUAAGUAGUAAACAACAGUUGGUGAAUAUUUUCAUAAAGACUUUGUCUAGUUGGUUGCUCAAUGAGCAUAUGAUCAAGAGGGGGACAGAGAACAUUUACUCACCAUCUCGAGGGAAGAUGUUUUGGAUCUAGGAGUGCCCAUAUGUCCAAGCCCAUAAUGAGUUAACCUAAAUCCACAACCAGUUUAAAAGGAAAAAACACAUUGUUUUAUU